CGCGUGUACUGGUCCGGCCGGGCCUUUCCCUCUGUGGAACCCCAUGCCCUUCACUGGGUGUGGCGGGGAAACAGGACUUUUACUGUGAAAAAAUUAGAGUGCUCCAGGCAGGCCUAUGCUCGAAUACAUUAGCAUGGAAUAAUAGAAUAGGACGUGUGGUUCUAUUUUGUUGGUUUCUAGGACCGCCGUAAUGAUUAAUAGGGACAGUCGGGGGCAUCAGUAUUCAAUUGUCAGAGGUGAAAUUCUUGGAUUUAUUGAAGACUAACUACUGCGAAAGCAUUUGCCAAGGAUGUUUUCAUUAAUCAGGAACGAAAGUUAGGGGAUCGAAGACGAUCAGAUACCGUCGUAGUCUUAACCAUAAACUAUGCCGACUAGGGAUCGGACGGUGUUAUAUUUUGACCCAUUCGGCACCUUACGAGAAAUCAAAGUGCUUGGGCUCCAGGGGGAGUAUGGUCGCAAGGCUGAAACUUAAAGAAAUUGACGGAAGGGCACCACCAGGGGUGGAGCCUGCGGCUUAAUUUGACUCAACACGGGGAAACUCACCAGGUCCAGACACAAUGAGGAUUGACAGAUUGAGAGCUCUUUCUUGAUUUUGUGGGUGGUGGUGCAUGGCCGUUCUUAGUUGGUGGAGUGAUUUGUCUGCUUAAUUGCGAUAACGAACGAGACCUUAACCUGCUAAAUAGCCCGUAUUGCUUUGGCAGUACGCUGGCUUCUUAGAGGGACUAUCGG
This 729-nucleotide ribosomal RNA is filed under the name uncultured eukaryote. Its description in RNAcentral is "SSU rRNA". It matches the Rfam family "Eukaryotic small subunit ribosomal RNA", at positions 670 to 1426 of the family's 1831-position model. The record is from RNAcentral.